This 1876-nucleotide ribosomal RNA is filed under the name Triticum aestivum (bread wheat). Its description in RNAcentral is "partial small subunit ribosomal RNA". The record is from RNAcentral. Lineage: Eukaryota; Viridiplantae; Streptophyta; Magnoliopsida; Poales; Poaceae.
AAAAUAUCCAAUCACCACAUGGGUGUGACCUAGCCGUCGCUCCUCCCACAUUCGCUCAUCCCACCUCCUCCUCUCCCUCCCGCGAUCCCCUCUGCCUCGCACGCCGCCACCGCUCGCCCUCACGCCGCCUCCGCCUCAGCUCGCCCUCGCGCCGCUGCCGCCUCUGCCCCCGCUCGCCCUCGCUCCGCUGUCGCCUUCGCCUCCGCUCGCCCUCAUCUCUGCUCAUUAGGAGGAGCGCGGCUCACCGCUGGACCUCGCGAGAGAGGUCAGGGUUAGGGUCUCGGCCCGGGGUGGCUACUGCGGAGCUCCUGGCGGGCUACCUGCUCUGCCUGCUCGCGCUUGCGGUGGCCAAGGCGACCACGCUGCUCUGGGUCAUGCAUCGUCGCUCCACUCCACGAUGCCAUGUUGCUCCCCCGCGCCUCCUCCCGGUCCUCCAGGAAGAAGAGGAUGCAUACGAAGUAAGGCUUUGGCUUUCCUCUCCUCCAAGUUCUUCCAGCAUGAGUUGCUCGGUACUGUGAGAACGUGGAGAUGUGCAGGCUCACAGAGUGGAUAAGUUGUAGAUUGUGUAUGGAUAAGUAAGAUAUGUGGCUGCUAGGUGCAGGUACACAAAGAUGAUGAGGUCAGAGCCUUGUUUAAGCAAGUGCAAGGAGAAGUCCCUGGAUUGCCUAUAAUCAUUAUGAAGGUGGCAUCUCAGGAACCUUCUAUUGAGUUGUUUUACUGGCUUAAUUUGGCCGCUCUUGAGCAUCCAGCAGCUCUGUAUCCGAAGACUGUCACCAUUUGUAAAUACUACGUACUUGUUGCUAUGUAAGAAAACCAUACAUCCAACAACUGCCAAUGGGGCGCGCCACGAUGUGUGUUGGCGGGCUCCAUUCUUUGCUCCAGGAAUCAUUGUACUCGACGGUCUCUGUUUUCUAUAAGUGAGGAGCAUAACAUGGCUAUGGUACAAGUAUGUUGGCUUGAGAAGCAUCAGAACUAAAGGUUGAAUAUAAGCAAGUGAAAUUCUAACAACCUCAAUAUUCUGUGGUGUCGACCUGGUGUCAUACUACUUAAUUAACUCAUUGUGUGCCAUACCCCUGGCCGUGAUGCCCAUGACUUCAGUCCUUGCUUGUGAUAUGUCUCCAACGUAUCUAUAAUUUUUGAUUGUUCCAUGCUAUUAUAUUACCCUUUUUGGAUGUUUAUGGGCUUUAUUUUACAUAUUUAUAUCAUUUUUGGGACUAACCUACUAACCGGAGGCCCAGCCCAUAUUGCUGUUUUUGUGCCUAUUUCAGUAUAUUGAAGAAAAGGAAUAUCAAACGGAGCUCAAACGGAAUGAAACCUUCGGGAGCGUUAUUUUUGGAACGAAUCUGAUUCGAAGAGCCUGGAGUGCAAGUCAAGAAAGCUCUGAGGGCCCCACGAGAUAGGAGGGCGCCCCUCUAGGGCGCGCCCCCCUGUCUCGUGGGCUCCUCGGGCGUCCACUGACGUACUUUUUCCUCCUAUAUAUACCUACGGACCCCGAAAACAUCCAGGAGCACCACUAAACACAAUUUCCACCGUCGUAACCUUCUGUAUCCGCGAGAUCUCAUCUUGGAGCCUUCGCCGGCACUCUGCCGGAGGGGGAAUCGACCACGGAGGGCUUUUUCAUCAACACCAUAGCCCCUCCGAUGAGUUGUUAGUAGUUUACCACAGACCUACGGGUCCAUAGUUAUUAGCUAGAUAGCUUCUUCUCUCUUUUUGGAUCUCAAUACAAUGUUCUCCCCCUCUCUUGUGGAGAUCUAUUUGAUGUAAUCUCUUUUUGCGGUGUGUUUGUCGAGAUCCGAUGAAUUGUGGGUUUAUGAUCAAAUUUAUCUAUGAAUAAUAUUUGAAUCUUCUCUGAAUUCUUUUAUGUAUGAUUGAGUUA